GCUAGUAAUCGCGGAUCAGAAUGCCGCGGUGAAUACGUUCCCGGGUCUUGUACACACCGCCCGUCACACCAUGGGAGUCGGGAAUGCCCGAAGUCAGUGACCCAACCCAAGGGAGGGAGCUGCCGAAGGCAGGCCUGGUGGCUGGGGUGAAGUCGUAACAAGGUACC
This 167-nucleotide ribosomal RNA is filed under the name uncultured bacterium. Its description in RNAcentral is "partial 16S ribosomal RNA". It matches the Rfam family "Bacterial small subunit ribosomal RNA", at positions 1334 to 1500 of the family's 1533-position model. The record is from RNAcentral.